GGAUGUGAGGGCGAUCUGGCUGUGACAUGUCACCCCAUUGACCGCCAGGGGUCCAGGGGGUGAUUCAGCAUAUCUGGCUGACUAGGCAGGUGUCCCCUUCCUCCCUCACCGCUCCAUGUGCAUCCCCCGGAAGCUGCCCACUCAGUCAAAGAGGACCGCCUUCCCUGAACAGAGACUGACAGGGUCUUAGGUGGAGGGUAUAGGAGUAGCGCUCCCCUGCUAGAACCUCCAAACAAGCUCUCAAGAAAAGAAGGCAAAAACAUAAAACAAACCCAAAGAAAGGUGAAGGAAGGAAAUAGUCAAGAAAAAUCAGGAAAUGAUUUUU
This is an unclassified non-coding RNA of Erinaceus europaeus (western European hedgehog), 325 nucleotides long. Its record names the gene 7SK. It matches the Rfam family "7SK RNA". Rfam says of the family: 7SK was discovered as an abundant small nuclear RNA in the mid-70s but a possible function has only recently been suggested. Two independent studies have found that 7SK RNA binds the CDK9/cyclin T complex (known as elongation factor P-TEFb). P-TEFb activates transcription by phosphorylating the C-terminal domain of RNA polymerase II. NCBI's taxonomy places the organism in Eukaryota, Metazoa, Chordata, Mammalia, Eulipotyphla, Erinaceidae. The record is from Ensembl.